CCCUUGGGGAUUUUCCGCAAUGGGCGCAAGCCUGACGGAGCAACGCCGCGUGAGGGAUGAAGGCCUCUGGGCUGUAAACCUCUUUUAUCAAGGAAGAAGAUCUGACGGUACUUGAUGAAUAAGCCACGGCUAAUUCCGUGCCAGCAGCCGCGGUAAUACGGGAGUGGCAAGCGUUAUCCGGAAUUAUUGGGCGUAAAGCGUCCGCAGGCGGCCCAGAAAGUCUGCUGUUAAAAAGUGGAGCUUAACUCCAUCAUGGCAGUGGAAACUUCUGGGCUAGAGUGUGGUAGGGGCAGAGGGAAUUCCCGGUGUAGCGGUGAAAUGCGUAGAUAUCGGGAAGAACACCAGUGGCGAAGGCGCUCUGCUGGGCCAUAACUGACGCUCAUGGACGAAAGCCAAGGGAGCGAAAGGGAUUAGAUACCCCUGUAGUC
This 428-nucleotide ribosomal RNA is filed under the name uncultured cyanobacterium. Its description in RNAcentral is "bacterial SSU rRNA". It matches the Rfam family "Bacterial small subunit ribosomal RNA", at positions 352 to 795 of the family's 1533-position model. The record is from RNAcentral. Lineage: Bacteria; Bacillati; Cyanobacteriota.